UUGGCCAGUCUAUGGGACAGUCUGGGAGGCCAGUUUUCAUCCAAAAAUAUCUUAAAUUGUGUUCCUAAGAUGAACGAAGCUUUCACGGAUUUGGAACGACAAGGCGGUUGAAUAUCUGCUUUACAUAUUUCUCAUGAAUCGGUUGCAGUUCAAGCACAGGAAGUUAUGGUGGCUGUACUAUUUUUGCCUAGGGCUAAUGUUCACUGAAGGAGUGUCUCAUUAUUUCUCAACCGGUUCCUGUGGGGGCAGGGAUUAAACAAAGGCCUCCACACGGACUGGAGACAAACAGCAGUUUCAGUACGAAAUCACAACAUAUUUCCACAGAUAACCGACAUUCAGCUGCUAGUUCGCAGUGUCUCUGCUCAAAUCAAGCCUGUUUUUGAUCGAGUGAGGCCUAGUUGUGUCUCUCCCUCUCCCCUGUGCUCUUUCCCGCACUCACUGAUCCUGCAACGCUGAACAAAGAUGGUUACUCAGGAAGCGCCUCGGCCAAUCAGACGAGGCCUUACAUCCUGCGAGCCGGAGGGCAGCCAAUCAUGGCCCUGCUCUGAUCACACAGGCCUGAGCUCCGAGUGUGGAGAGGAGAGCCCUCCCUAGUCUACAGGCUGAGGCUGUCCUCCAUGUUUGAUAAGUGUUGACAUUACACUGUUUCAGCCAUGCAUCCACAGAG
Long non-coding RNA from Carassius auratus (goldfish), 667 nucleotides. RefSeq lists it as uncharacterized. NCBI's taxonomy places the organism in Eukaryota, Metazoa, Chordata, Actinopteri, Cypriniformes, Cyprinidae. The record is from RefSeq and is a predicted model, not a curated record. The transcript is spliced from 2 exons.